RNAcentral lists this ribosomal RNA (440 nucleotides) under uncultured bacterium. RNAcentral describes it as "partial 16S ribosomal RNA". It matches the Rfam family "Bacterial small subunit ribosomal RNA", at positions 338 to 795 of the family's 1533-position model. The record is from RNAcentral.
CCUACGGGUGACAGCAGUGGGGAAUAUUGCACAAUGGGGGGAACCCUGAUGCAGCGACGCCGCGUGGGUGAGGAAGUACUUCGGUAUGUAAAGCUCUAUCAGCAGGGAAGAAAAUGACGGUACCUGAGUAAGAAGCCCCGGCUAACUACGUGCCAGCAGCCGCGGUAAUACGUAGGGGGCAAGCGUUAUCCGGAUUUACUGGGUGUAAAGGGAGCGUAGACGGCAGUGCAAGUCUGGAGUGAAAGGCGGGGGCUCAACCCCGGGACUGCACUGGAAACUGUCCGGCUGGAGUGCAGGAGGGGCAAGUGGAAUUCCUAGUGUAGCGGUGAAAUGCGUAGAUAUUAGGAGGAACACCAGUGGCGAAGGCGGCUUACUGGACGGUAACUGACGUUGAGGCUCGAAAGCGUGGGGAGCAAACAGGAUUAGAUACCCGAGUAGUC